This 1259-nucleotide ribosomal RNA is filed under the name Candidatus Phytoplasma fraxini. RNAcentral's name for it is "bacterial SSU rRNA". It matches the Rfam family "Bacterial small subunit ribosomal RNA", at positions 125 to 1381 of the family's 1533-position model. The record is from RNAcentral. Lineage: Bacteria; Bacillati; Mycoplasmatota; Mollicutes; Acholeplasmatales; Acholeplasmataceae.
UCUACCUUUAAGACGAGGAUAACAACCGGAAACAGUUGCUAAGACUGGAUAGGAAAUAAAAAGGCAUCUUUUUAUUUUUAAAAGACCUUUUUCGGAAGGUAUGCUUAAAGAUGAGCUUGCGCCACAUUAGUUUGUUGGUGGGGUAAUGGCCUACCAAGACGAUGAUGUGUAGCUGGACUGAGAGGUCGAACAGCCACAUUGGGACUGAGACACGGCCCAAACUCCUACGGGAGGCAGCAGUAGGGAAUUUUCGGCAAUGGAGGAAACUCUGACCGAGCAACGCCGCGUGAACGAUGAAGUAUUUCGGUAUGUAAAGUUCUUUUAUUGAAGAAGAAAAAAUAGUGGAAAAACUAUCUUGACGUUAUUCAAUGAAUAAGCCCCGGCUAACUAUGUGCCAGCAGCCGCGGUAAGACAUAGGGGGCGAGCGUUAUCCGGAAUUAUUGGGCGUAAAGGGUGCGUAGGCGGUUAGGAAAGUCUAUAAUUUAAUUUCAGUGCUUAACGCUGUCUUGUUAUAGAAACUACCUUGACUAGAGUUAGAUAGAGGCAAGCGGAAUUCCAUGUGUAGCGGUAAAAUGUGUAAAUAUAUGGAGGAACACCAGAAGCGUAGGCGGCUUGCUGGGUCUUGACUGACGCUGAGGCACGAAAGCGUGGGUAGCAAACAGGAUUAGAUACCCUGGUAGUCCACGCCGUAAACGAUGAGUACUAAGUGUCGGGAUAAAACUCGGUACUGAAGUUAACACAUUAAGUACUCCGCCUGAGUAGUACGUACGCAAGUAUGAAACUUAAAGGAAUUGACGGGACUCCGCACAAGCGGUGGAUCAUGUUGUUUAAUUCGAAGAUACACGAAAAAUCUUACCAGGUCUUGACAUGCUCUGCAAAGCUAUAGAAAUAUAGUGGAGGUUAUCAGGGACACAGGUGGUGCAUGGUUGUCGUCAGUUCGUGUCGUGAGAUGUUAGGUUAAGUCCUAAAACGAGCGCAACCCUUGUCGUUAGUUACCAGCACGUAAUGGUGGGCACUUUAACGAGACUGCCAAUUAAACAUUGGAGGAAGGUGAGGAUUACGUCAAAUCAUCAUGCCCCUUAUGAUCUGGGCUACAAACGUGAUACAAUGGCUGUUACAAAGAGUAGCUGAAGCGCGAGUUUUUAGCCAAUCUCAAAAAAGCAGUCUCAGUUCGGAUUGAAGUCUGUAACUCGACUUCAUGAAGUGGAAUCGCUAGUAAUCGCGAAUCAGCAUGUCGCGGUGAAUACGUUCUCGGGGUU